UUUUUUUCUUCCCCUUAAGAAUUGUUGCUGAAUGUGAUUUCUUCUUCUAUGCUGCUUGGGGAUGAUGAAGUGAUUACAUGGUUAGAACAAUUCUUCCAUUAGCAACAACAUAAAUCAGCAACAAUCAUGAAUCAUCAUUUAAAUUCAUAAAAAUCAAUUAAAUCCGUUAAUCAACAACAAAAACAAUUGAUUCUUCAACAACAACAACAUUAAUCACCACAAACAAACCCAUAAUACACCACAAAUAAUUCACGCCUCUUUCUAUUUGUAUUGAUCCCAACUUACAGUGUGUGCAUAGUCAAACAAAAUAAACCAUGAAAAACAAUUAACAUUAAAAAUAAAAAAAAAGAAUUAUGAAAAGAUUUCUCCAGAGAAAAAAAUCACCUUUUAUAAAUUACACAACUUUACAUACCACAUGAAAUGAAAGAAGAAUCGAGGAAGAGAUUUUCACGUUUUACGGUUUUCAUAUCAAAGUUUGACAUCUGUGAGUUUAUCGUUUAAGUUUGGGUUGGUGGGUGUUAUCUUAACUGAUUCAAUUCCUAAUGCAAAGAGUGAAAGUAUCUAUGUUAAAAUUGGAAGUUUUUAAGCUUUUGUAAAUGUUGAAGAUGAAGAUGAAAGAGGCAUAAUGUUUGAUUGUAAGAAAAACCCAUAAACUCAAAUGUUGCAGAAGAUGUGGUAAAGAGUUUAUUCUAUGAGUUUAUAUGAGUUAAUGGGUUAAAGGUUGUGGUGUUAGAUAUUAUUUUCUGGGCUGUGGUGGUGGUAUGAAGUUCAUAGGAUGGAAAAGAAAUAAAAGAUGGAAGAUGAAAGUGCAUAAUAUUAGGUGUUAGUGAUACACCAUCUGAUGGACCUCCUUUAUCCAACGGUCAUCUUUUUGAGAGGUUUAAAAUUAAUAAAAUAGGAUUAAAUUGAUGAUGAAAACAAAGAUAAAUGACCAAAUUGAAACGUUUAAUAGUUAGAGGACCAAUUUGAAAAAAAGAAUUCAAUUAAGGGACCAAACGAUGUAUUAAGCCUUUUUAUAAAUCAUGAACAUUCAAGGCUCCAAUAAUGUCCCAAGAUUCCUUUCUUUAUCAUUGAUCAUUUCUCUCUCGUUAUUAUAGUUGAUCCUUUCCUUCUCAUUUGUGGUUUUUGUUUUGACCACCGAUUCUUCUCGGUAAUCCUGAAAUCGUUUUUCUCCUUCUUUAGUCCUUGUUGUUUUGAACAGUGAUUUUCACAACUCACAAGUGUUUUCCUCCUUUCUCUAUUUAAUAUUGUAUCCCUCAGUUUGAUCUUUUUUUAAUGGAUCAGACAUUUUUGUGUAACUAUGAAGACUAAUCAUACGAGUUGAAUAAUCAUUACAAUGUAAUGAGUUACAAAAUUUUCCUUCAAAAAAUUUAAUAUUAUUUCAUUUUUUCUGGUUGGACUUGAACCCAAAAUUUCUAAUUAAGCUGGAAGAAAUCAUUAAUCAUCAUAGUGCUCUUGUGUAUUUAAUCUUUCAUUUAAGAAAAUGCAUUUGAAAAUCAUGGUUUUGAGAAAUUGCUUUGGUUUAAAAAAUAUUUUGGCAUGAGUAAAUUAUUGAUGGACAAUUUUUUUUAUUUAUUUUGUAAAGGAAAAUGUUAGUAUGGUAAUUGUUAGAGUUGUGUUAUUUGCCCAACUUUUUUUAUAACAACUCUUAGUACAACUAUAAAUUUUUAAAGAAAAAGAGACAUUGACACAAAAAUCAAAACAAUAAAUAGAGAGAGAGAGAGAGAGAGAAAAAAAGUAAAAACAUAACGAGUAAAAGAGAGAAGAUUGUCAUAAAAAUUAUCAAAAAAUAGUUAUGCAAAUAUCAUUUUUCUUAAUUGCUAUGUUGUUUUUUUUCCUCCUUGUUAGGACUUCAACUUCUUUACUCUUAGCUUUAAAUUUGUUGAGUUAUCAAAUCCGCUCGGUGAAAAAAUAUUUACAACAAAUCUAAAUUAACUUAGUUUUGACAUUAACUCAAAACAUCCAAGUCUAUAAACUUAAACAUGCACUCAAAGUAAAAUUUUGAAAUUAGCUUUUAAAUUCCAAUUACGUUAAUCUUGUCAUGUAUAUUUGUUUGAUUGAUCUAGAAAGAGUAAUAUUAUAGGAGAUUUUCCAUUUUAAUUUAAUAUUUUUAAAUAUUAAUAAUUAGGGAUAUUUAAUAAGAAAAGGCGUCCUCUAAACUAAACUAGUUUUAUGCGUCCCCGUGAACUUAUCUCAGUUGAUAAGGACAAUGUAUAAUAUAUGUAAGGUUCGGUGUUCAAACAUCGGACACCACAAAAAAAAACUAGUUUCACACAAACUUUUAAUGAAAAUCCAAUAUUUUGUUGUUAUUUUUAAACUGCAAUUAUAAAAGAAAUGAUGUGUUAAUAUCAUGAAUUUUUUUAGAUUAAAAACCAUACCUUGUCAAUUUAAAAGUUGUUUACACCGACAAUUAAUCACAAAUCACCUGAAAACAUAUAAUUACAUAAUUAUUUUUAUUUAAAAAUUAUAUAGACGAUGCAACAAAUUGAAUUAUUUUAUUUUUAUUAUUUUAAGGAGCAAAUUGAAUGAUUUAGAUUGAAUGUUAAUGUAAAAUUGUUUUACGCACUCAUUGUAUAUAUCUUUUAAUCUUAAUUUUACGAGUUUAAUGGAAGUGCACCAAUAAAAAUAAAUCAUAUUGUCAUUGUCAAGUAAAUGUAUUUGUAACCUCUUUUUAAAAAUGAUCGUCAAAUUCUCAAUUUUUUUUUUUUUUGGUCAAACAAAUUCUCAAUUUUUAUUAGGCCUCAAUGUAAAAUUAGUUAAUACGUGCAUGUUGUCACAUUUUCUCAUUUUUUAUUAGACGUUGUGCUAAAAGUAUUUACACCAAUAGUUUAUCUCAAUUAAACCCACGUUACAUUGUCACUAUCCUAUAAUUUUAGAGACUAAUAUAAAUUGUAUUAGUUUAACUAAUUGAUUUGACUCGAUAAGGAUUAACAUAUGUCAUAUUCAGUGGUACUGAUAUUCUUCAUUGUCAUCCGGUAACAACAAAUCAUAUUUAUAUUACGAUCAUUUUUUUUUAAUAAUCAUCAUAUUCUCGAUUCUUAUUCCACGUCAAGGUAAAAUUAGUUCAUUCUAACAACACAUGUGAUCAGGGUUAGAAAUGAAUCGAGUUGAAUUUGUCAGAGCUUGAUUCAACUCGAUUAGACUUAAUUCGACUCUAGUUCGAUAGAAACCUUAUUUAAAGCUCGAAUCCAAUGCAUUUAAAGUUCACGAACAACUUGAUUCUACUUAUUAAAUUCAACUCGUUUACUUGCAGUGCAAGUGAACUUUGAAUAAUUGUACUAAUACUUAUAGUUUUAUGUAUUUUGAACUUAUUUUUUCAACUAUUACUUUGAAUAAUUGUACUAAUACUUAUUUUUUCUUUUCCACCUCAAGCACAUAAUAAUCUAGAAGGAAAAACAAAUAUUCAACUUUUUUCAACUAUUCUAUAUUAUAUUUUAUAAAUCUUUAAGGUCAAACUCAACUGACAAUAUCAACAUUAAUAAAAUUGAACAUCUUCAUCUAAGUUUAUAUAUGUAACCUCUCAAUUGUGUUUAGAUGUGUAGCUAAGUUUUACAUGGUAGUUAUCACUAUGUUUAAUUCUAUAGACAAAAAAAAUAAAAGAUUAAAGUAGAAUAUUAAUUAACUAAUUAACUUUUAACUAAUUGAUCUAGAUUUGAUAAUGAUUGACAGAUGUCAAUUAAGUGUUACUUAUGGCAAAGCAAAGAGUGAAAUAAAAGCAUAUGAUUUGUUAAUUGAUUGAUUGAUUUCUCAUUUCUCAUUCUCAUUUCCUUCUCCUUCGCGGGUCCUAUCACCAAAUCGUUUUUUUCUCUCCACCCCAAUUUUCUCACUUUCCUACAAUUCUCUUCUCUCUUUCCUUUUUACACAAAAAACAACAAAAAAAAUGAGUUUUUUCUUUCAAUCUUAACCCAUAAGGUACGUUAAUUGCUUCAAUUUGAUUUGUUAUAUGAAUCUUCCAUUCAAUUUGUUGUUAUUCAAUCAUCGUUGAUACCAAUGCGUUGGUUAUUUUUGUUGGGUCAGUGUGAUUUUCCAACUGUUUGAUAAAAUUCCUCAAUCAAAGUUUCAACUUUCAACAUGUCUAGUUUUGUGGGUGUUCUUGUUUCUGAUCAAUGGCUUCAGAGCCAGUUCACUCAAGUCGAAUUACGAACUCUCAAAUCAAAAGUAAGGUUUUUUUUUUUUUUUUUUUUGUGAUUUUAAUUUCAAUUUGACCAUUUUGAUUUCUUGAUCAUUGAUGAGGAUUUCAAUGAAUUUGAAUAAUGAUGGAAUGAGUUUGUUUUGUGUUGUUUGUAGUAUGUAUCUGAAAGAACUCAAUCGGGCCGUGUUAUUGUGGGAAAUUUGCCUCCCAUUUUCAAGAAAUUGAAGGCUUUUGCGGAGUUUUUUACCGAGGAUGAGAUUAAGGCUGUAUUGGAAGAGUCAUAUCAGAAUAUGGAUGAUGAAAUCGACUUUGAGUCCUUCCUUAGGGUGAGCCCUUUUUUCGUUCUUUGUUGCCCUUUUUUCAUUUACGCGUUUUUUAUAUAAUGUUUCUUGAUUUCGUAGAAGAAAUAGUACAAUAAUGGAGAAAUUGCACUCAUCUCCUUGAUGUAUGCUUAAAUUACACAUAUAGACAGGUGAGGGGUGUGACAAUUUUUCCAACAAGUAAGAGUGGUUAGUGUUUAUUUGAAAAAUAGAAGGGGUGUGGGUGUUAUUUUGGUAUUCCUCGUAGUAGAUAAGUGCAAUUUCCAUGCGAACAUACAAGAAUGUCAUUGAUGUUCAAUUUGCUUCUAGAGUCUUGACAUAUAUAUAUAUAUAUAUAUAUAUAUAUAUAUAUAUAUAUAUAUAUAUAUAUAUAUAUAUAUAUAUAUAUAUAUAUAUAUAUAUAUAUAUAUGCACCUAAUUUGAAAGUAUACUUUUGUUUUUUGAUUCAAAUGUCUGUGUGGGAAUGCGUAUUCAGUUCAUUUGUAAGUAACUUUAUAGGUAUUAUCUAUACUGAACCUGGUAGCUUAUUUAUUGACAUUGAGUGGUAGGCACAUUUAAACUUGCAAACUCGAGCUGCAGCAAAAGGUGGCGGUUCAAAAAGUUCUUCUUCAUUUUUGAAGGCAGCUACGACUACCGUUCAUCAUGCAAUUAAUGAAUCUGAGAAGGCUUCUUAUGUCGCACACAUUAACAGUUACUUGGCUGAAGAUAAAUUCAUGAAGCAGUUUCUUCCAAUUGAUCCGUCUACAAAUGCAUUGUUUGAUCUUGCUAAAGAUGGAGUCCUGCUUUGGUAAAUGAUCAGCGCCAAACAUAAGAUCAAUUCUAUUUUUUAUAAAAAAAGACUAAAUUUUUAUCUGUCUAAUUUUAUUGUUUAUUUAACUGCUGCAGCAAGCUUAUUAAUGUUGCUGUUCCUGGGACAAUAGAUGAGCGAGCCAUUAACACAAAACGGGAUCUUAAUCCAUGGGAGAGGAAUGAAAACCACACCCUUGGCCUCAAUUCAGCAAAGGCUAUUGGGUGCACAGUGGUUAAUAUUGGUACACAGGAUAUGGUUGAAGGAAGAGUAUGUUCAAUUCAAUCUUCUUUUUUGCGAUUUUGAUCCCCUGAAUUUUGACAGAAUUAAACUCUUGACAAGUUUCUUGUUUGUUUAUUUGUAGCCUUAUUUGGUACUUGGUCUGAUUUCACAAAUAAUCAAGGUACAACUGAAACCUACUCCAUUUUCACUUUCAUAAGAUGAGGGAUUGACAGUUAAUACCAUUCUGAUUUCUAUUAUUCAUUGAAAAGACUUCUUAACUUAUGGUUUCUUGUGUUUGUCUGUCUUUUCAUUCUUUGGCAACAUUAGAUUCAAUUGUUAGCUGAUCUCAAUCUGAAGAAAACUCCUCAACUUUUGGAAUUAGUGGAAGAUGAUAAGGUGAUAUUGGAUAAUAUUGUUCCUUAUAUAUGUAAUUUUCAAGUUCCCUGAUAUUCUUUCCUUUUCAUUUGUCAAAACAACAUUAAAUUAAACCUCUUCAUUACCUUAUGACAAAAUGGCAGGAUGUGGAGGAGCUUAUCAGUUUACCACCUGACAAGGUUUUAUUGAAAUGGAUGAAUUUCCACUUGAAGAAAGCUGGUUAUGAGAAACAAGUUACAAAUUUCUCAUCUGAUGUAAAGGUGAGGGAAAUGCUAUUUCUUAUUGUAUGUUUACUUACUCUAAUCAAAAUUGUUAGAAAUGAUAAAAAUAAGUAGUUACAGUAUCAUGUAAAUAUAUAAUACAGGGUAGCAUUAAAUACUUCGUAUUAUCAUGAUGUGUGUGCAUAUAUAAUAUAACAUAGCUCCGGUGUGUGUAGAAUACACAAAUUCUGUCACUUGCUUUCUUAACAUGGUGUCAGAGCUACUUAUUUUCAUCAUUUCUAAGACUUAUAGUACUUCAGGAUUUGGCUCCUCUAGUGCGAUGAACUGUAGAAUGAAAUUGAGGAGGUAUAACAAUUAAUGAAUUAGUAUCGUAGUACUCCUUAUGAGCCACUGUUGUUCUGAUUUAUUAAAUCAGUGAAGAAACUGUGGCCCUUCUUAUGUUCUUCUGUCCUUGACAGUGUUCAGUAGUUUUUUAUGAAAAAAUUCACUGUAUUGUUGUCCUGUAACAUGCUGAUUACUGAAUCAUUGUGUGACACAUUUUCCUCACAUAGCAGACGUUCGAUAGAUGUUAACCGAUACAACAUGGUUCUAAAUUGCGCGGGUCUAUUUUAUCAUUGAAUACUUUCUUUUUUCAGGAUGGAGAGGCUUAUGCGUACUUGCUUAAUGCUCUUGCUCCAGAAACUGCAGGCCCAUCUGCCUUGACCAUAAGUGAUCCGACAGAAAGAGCAAAUAUGGUUCUUGAGCAGGCAGAGAGAUUAGAUUGCAAGAGAUACCUCACUCCAAAGGACAUAGUUGAAGGGUCACCUAACCUUAAUCUUGCAUUUGUUGCUCAAAUUUUCCAGCAUAGGUAUGGUUACUUUUAGGAGGUUGCAAUUGUGCUAAUCACUUUGUUGCAAAUUUAUAAAUUAAGAAUAUUUUGGGGCAUGCUUCCAAGAACCUGCUACUUUUCCGUUGCCUUCUUUUAUUGGGAAAAGGUUAGCACCUCAAAAAAUAAUUAAUGGCCUUUUGAGUAUCUUUUUUUCUAAUGAAGGGCUUCUUAGUAUCAGGUUCAUUAUAUCUUAUGAGUAUAGAACGGUUCAGAUUUCUUUCUUUUGAUUGUUUCCACUAGACUAGAACUUUCCCUUUUGGAAAAAAAGAGGAUGAGGUAGUUGAUGUGGCAUACAUAUCACAUAAUGGGUCACCCUUGUUGAUUCAUUUCAUUUACUGGGAACAAGUAUCUGGGAGUAGUGCAGUUAUAGAGUUAGGAAAUGUAUAGAGGAUGGAUCUUUAGCUGAUGGAGAUUGUGGCUUUCAUGUGUGUAGGAAUGGGCUUACAGUUGACACGAAUAAAAUGUCCUUCGCUGAGAUGAUGACUGAUGAUGCACAGACAUCUCGGGAAGAAAGAUGCUUCAGACUCUGGAUUAACAGUCUCGGAAUUGCUACUUAUGUCAAUAAUGUUUUCGAGGAUGUCAGAAAUGGGUAGCUUUUCCUUUCAUGUUCACAUUUGUCCUGUACUUCUGCCUUUUAAUUUUUUCAUUGAACUAACUGCUGGUUAUGGAUUUCCUUAUUUUCUUUUUCACAGAUGGGUUCUAUUAGAAGUUCUUGAUAAGGUUUCACCUGGAUCUGUCAACUGGAAGCAGGCGACAAAGCCUCCUAUAAAGAUGCCAUUUCGGAAAGUGGAGAAUUGCAACCAAGUUAUAAAAAUUGGGAAGGACCUAAACUUUUCCUUAGUAAACGUUGCUGGUAACGAUAUUGUUCAAGGGAAUAAGAAGCUCUUACUAGGUAAGUUUCUAUGAUUUUCAGAUUUAUGAUAAAUCGAUAUUGUUGGUGAAGUCGAUAUGUUUGUGUCAUUGUUGGCUGGCCGGUGCUUUGUUUUAUACUGCUACUAUUUCUUUCUAAAUCAAUAUUAUAACUGAAGAUAACCAAUAGGCCAGAUAUGUUCUUGUUAUUUCAUACGAGGAACAUUCAUAAUUGUUCUCAAACUAUUGCAGAACUAUAUAUUAGACCUUAUUUCCAUGGUGAGUGUUGAUGUAGAAAAUCUGAUUUUCUGCUAAAAAGAAUAUCGUAAAUUUUAAUUUUAUUUAUCUAGAUGAUAGAUUGACAAUUCAAUAUUAUAUUUCAAAUUGAAACACCGCAUGGAAACCAACUCGAAACUGCAAUUUUAUUAAGACAGUUUAAAUGAGAAGUUACAGAAAAGUAGGAGCUGUGUGUCUGUAUCAGGCGACUCUUGAUGGAUUUGAGAUGACAAUUUCCUUCCCCCUUUUUAGUUCAAAGUUAUAGUGGAAGUUAAAAAAACAGUCUUUCUAGGAAAUGUUAAAAUGAGAUAUCCUUCUUCUGUAACAUUAUAGAUGGGAUGUUAUGACGAAGUUCUGUUGAUCGGUCAUUAUCUUGUUCAGAGCUGUCUCAUUAAAUUUUGAAACUGAUGGGAACUAGAAAUAUUAUAACCGAAGAAUGGAUCAAGAGCCUAUUUGAGAGGUAAGAUUUACUCGCAGACUAGGUUUUGGCAACCUCCCUGCCUUAAGGCCUCACAAAAACUUACUAAUGACUAGCUACCCUAUUCUAUACCUUUCUCUCUCUUUAUCAUCGUUUUUAACUGUUUCCCCCUCCUUGCCUGCACAGGCAAGGUUGUUACAGCACAACUCCCGUUUCUUCCCCCUUCCCCUGUUUCCCAUGUGUUAUCUAGCAUAGGAGUGUCUAACAGGAACAUUCAUCUCUGUUUGUCCAACAGCUUUUUUGUGGCAGCUUAUGAGAUUUACCAUGCUUCAACUUCUGAGAAACUUGAGAUCACACUCCCAAGGUAAAGAGAUUACUGAUGCUGAUAUACUAAACUGGGCGAACAACAAAGUGAAGAAAGCCGGAAGAACAUCUGAAAUGGAGAGUUUCAAGGUAAUAAAGCAGAAAAUUACCAGUUCUGAGUAUACUGAUAUUGACAUGUAUGCAUAUUAUCUUAAGGUGGCUCCAAAACAGUUUAUAUUAUGAAUUCACUGUUGAGAAUAAUAUGUAUGCAUUUGCAUAUAUCAUAUUUGGUACUCUUAAUUUUACAUUUAUACAAAACAAUUAUCAGUCUUAGAUAUGUGUUCUCAUAUUAAAUGACAAGCAUUUGAUAUCUGCUGAUAGUAAAAAUUAAUAUUGUUAAAGCUUUAGAAUAAAGAAAAGAACUAUUCAAUGUUUCACAAAAGGGGCAGUGUGCACAGUGGUUGCUUUGAUGUUUGGACUCCAACACAUUUUAUUUUUUUUAUCAGGAUAAGAAUCUUUCCAACGGAAUUUUCUUCCUUGAGCUUUUGAGUGCCGUGGAGCCAAGGGUGGUCAACUGGAGUUUAGUUACUAAAGGGGAGACUGGUAUGUCAACUUUGCCACACCUUCAAGAAAUUGAAGCUGACUUGAUCAAGCAUUUAAUUUAACAUUGAUGUGAUGUGAUAGUGAAUAUGUUAUCUUACUAACAAUAACUGAAAUGUUAAAUGUAAUCUGUUGUACAAAUUACAGAUGAUGACAAGAAGUUGAAUUCAACAUAUAUAAUCAGUGUUGCCAGAAAACUUGGAUGUUCCAUUUUCCUGUUACCUGAGGACAUAAUCGAGGUAAGGCUGUCAAUAUUAAAUUUAAUUUUAAUAGUAAUUUUGCUAGUGCUCCAUGAAAAAUCAACUUCAUGGUUUUGUUAAGUUUGGUGAAUGUUAUAAAAUCAACUUCAAUGGGUUGUUCAGAUAGAAUGUAUUAAGUCUUGCCUAGAUUAUGCCAUACUCUAUUGGGCUGAGAAAUUUUAUUUUUGUGGCUCAAGCUUAUUUUGCAUUUAACCUUGACAGGUCAACCAGAAGAUGAUACUCACUUUAUCUGCUAGCAUCAUGUACUGGAGCCUGCUGAAUUCUGAAGAAAACAGCACCCCAGAAACAUCGCCUGUAGCUUCAGCAGAUGGCGAACAUGAAACAGAUUUAGUCAACGAGGUAUCCGAUUUAGCUAUUGAUGAUAAUGCUGCAGAAAAUGCCAGCUCUCCUUAAGCUGGCAGCGUGAAUCUCUGUCGACAUUAAAGGAUCUCUGUCAAAAGGUUGAAGCAAACCACAAAAUGAGGGAGAAAAAUUCAUUUUUGUUUAUAGAAUAGAAAGACGAAGCCGGCCUCUUGGUGCUCGGCGCAAAAGAAAGAGCUUAUAUUUUUUUUAUGAAGAACCACAGAUAAUAGAAGGAUCUUGUAAAAUUUCUUUUAGAAUUUUUUUGUACUUUAGGUAUAUUCUUUGACGAAAAUCGUAUGCAUUUUAUUCCCAAUAAUAAGAAAAGGGAGGAGGCAUCAGUUUAUAUCGACCUGAUAGCCAAGAUUACUCCUAAUCCAUGCUUGCACUCCAUUUUAGAGUGUGGUUUUUCUAGUUCAGGUCUGGAAUUCAAGUAUAAGGCAGAUAGUUGGAGACAAUGCAUUUCAAUUUCUCUGUUUUCCUUCAGAUGCGAAAAUAUUCUUAGUUUCUUUUCUUAACUUGGUUCUGAAUAUUGCUUACAGAAUUUUGAAAUUGAACUGGUUUGAAACUGAAACAGAACAUGUGUAUUGUGUACACAACUCUUGCUCAUGUUGAUCAUUAAAAUGAUCUUUGUCGAUGUAAAUAAAAUUGUUCCUUGUAGAUUCUAUGUAAGUUGUAACCUAGUAACUGUGCAGACUUUAAUUGGCCAUGACUACGGUGCACAAGUACUGAGAGUAUUGCAUCGUACAACACCAUUUAUCAUAUUAGGUCAAAAAGGUCCACCAAUCUUGAUGGUAAAUCAUCCAAACUAGAUCUACUCUCUUUUCUUCUUGUUUCCCACCCUCUUCAAACCCACCUCUUCUGACUCUUGUCAACUCCACCACCUUCAUGUGAAUCAAAUUAAGCACCUUUUUUCUGUUUUUUCUUCUUUUUUUAUACUCAUUUUACAUUCCUCCUGCUUCGUGGUACGAUUAAUUUUCAGGGCAAGAGAAGAGUGAGUGGGUGAUUCACCACUCAACUAUCCUUUCUCUGCCAUCUAACUAUCCAACGACUACCCCCAACGUCCUCAGCUGUGGGACUACGAGUAACCUUUGUUCCUUCAAACUCUUCACGUAUGACAUUUUUGGCAAGCACGUAAUUUACAUGAGGUGUGGCAUCCUUGAGUGCCCGUCUACAGAUUUAUGAAGCUUCUCCUGCCAAGAUUAGAUCCAUCUGAGGGACUCAUUUUUGUUUAUAAACGGAAAAAUUAUUUAAUAAACACACAACAGAGCAUGGGCAGAUGGAUUAGGAGGAAAAAUAGGUGUAUUAAAUGAAAAUAACUAAGAUGUUUUCUUGGUCUAAAAGAUUUGUGUUUUGUUUCUUAUAAAAAAGACCUGAUGAAACAUGCAUUAAUUGUUAAGUUAAAAAAAAAAAACAGCACCCCAGAAACAUCUGAAGAAAACACCCCAGAAACAUUGUAUGCACUUUUUCCCAACAAUAAGAAAAGGGAGGAAGGCAUCAGUUUUAUUUUUUGUCUGAUAGCCAAGAUUACUCCUGAUGUGUGCUUACAGAGAUGACAUGUCUGUACACCAUUUUGGUGUUCUGGUCUGGGAUUCAAGUAUUAUGGUAGAUAGUUGGGGUUGGGACGAUACAUUUCAAUUUUUCUAUUAACUCAACCACAAAGAUACAAGAAGGAUGGACAAUGUUGAGUAUUGCGUAUCAUCGACCGACUAAGAUGGAAGCGUUCAAUUCACCUUAUUAAUGAUAAUUGGUAACUCUUCAAAAAGGACAUUUUUUCGGAUAUGUAAUAUUUCUAUUUCCUUCAUUUGUUGUAUUUCAAUUAUAAAAAGAAGUUUUGUUGAUCUGAUUGUUGUACUUCAAUCAUAAAAAGAAGUUUUGUUGGUCAGAUAUAUUGGUGAGUACUUCAUCAUGUGUACUUUUAAUCGUUUUUGAAAUAUAGUUGUACUUUUAAUAUAUACCAAUUCUCUCGUGAUAUUUGAAUCAGAUUCUUCAAAAAAAUGCAAAGGUGAUGAAACUUCAAGCUCAUAGAAAGUUAUAUUGUUUGUCAUAAUUCAUGAAUAUUUUCAUAAAUAAACUUAUUUGUGGUAACAUUUGCAUGUUGCUGGGUUUUAAGCGUGAAUGGUCAAAUUUGUGACUGAUUAUUUCUUUCAUUGCUUAUGGUGUCUCUUAUUCCUGUGGUCCAGAAACCAUUUAUGUUGAAGGGAAAUAGCCGUUAUUAUUUGUUUUAAUUUCCACCCAAGUAAAAUUUUAAUAGAAAAUAAUAGGACGCAUGAGAAAUACAUAGGAUGAGAAAAGUAAUAGCCGUAAUUUUUAUGUUCAAAUAACACAAAUAUAUUUAUUUUGAAUAGUUAAAUCAAAUAUUUUACAUAUUAAUUACAUCAAUCAAUUUCAAUAUCAAUAAUUAUUUUUUGUUGAAAAAAUAUGAAUAAAUUUUAUAAGGUUAAAGAAGAUAACAAAGAUCAGAAGCAAAUAAUCGUAUAUUUAGAGGAUUAAAAGCAAAUAAUGAAUAUGAUCUCGUACUACAAUAUUUCCAUUGGCCUUUGGUGUUUAAUUACUCUUAUUAAAUCAAGGUUUUUAGUUGAGUUGCUUCUGUUGGCCAUUCAUGUAACAUUUGUAUUGACAAGACAUUUUGUUAUUGUUAUUUGUUGUGUUCCCGCAUAACUGGAGCAGUUGAAGAAAAAAAUAAUUAUAAGUUGAAAAUCCAAGCUAAGUUCCUAAAUUUUGUCUAUCCAGAAAAAAGAAAGUCACAAAAUCAAGGUAAAUAUGCAAUACAACUGUUUUGUGAUUAAUAUCUUGACCUGCUUACACCACAUAGGAGAUGUUUUAUAGAACCUAAGUUAAUAUAGUAGCCCAUAGUUUUAAAAUCUUGUUAAAACAAAGAUUCCUAAAUAGCAGAAGGUAAAAGAUAAAAUUUAUAUAGAUUUCAUAUGGUUCAACAAAUAAGUAAAAAAACCAUUUACAAGACAAUAUCUCUUUUAUGUCUUUAUCUUUGUCCUCAAUUUUCCUGUCGUCAUUCCACAAUGCACCCACAUUUUUUACUACUUUGAUACUAUAUUACUUACUCCGGUGAAUUCAUUACUUUGAUUUUUAGAGUUUAACUAGUUACAAACCCGUGCUUCGCAUUGAAUAACAUAUUUUUUUAAAAUUUAGUUUUGAAGGAGAAAUCUUAUAAAUUACAAAAAAUUGUUGUCCUUUAUAAAUGUGAAAAUCAAAGCUGCGUAAACCAAAAUUUUGCAACACAGAGCCUAAAAUACUACAUAAAAAAUAACAUAACAACUAUUAUAAUAUCUUAUUCCUUAAAGUUAACCCGAACGCAAAAUUUUGCCCAAAAUUUAACCUAACUUCUUUGCUUAAUUUUAUUGUAUUAACCCUAUUUAAUUUAAUCAAAAUGUUAACGUUAAUUGUUAGGGAAAUCAAAAUAAACAAAUCGCUUCUAAUUUUUCUCCUUAAUUUUACUAAACAAAUUAUAUUAACCCUAGAUUUAAUUUAUGCAAAAUGUCAUCUCUUAUCUCUUAUUUUUAAAUGUUAACCCAUGACGCAAUAUUAACCCUAGAUUUAACCUAAUUUUUUCGUGUAACUUUACUAUAUUAACCCUAGAAUUAAUUUAUGCAAAAUGACAUCUCUUAUUUCUAAAUGUUAAACCGUGAUGCAAUAUUAACCCUAGAUUUAACCUAUUUUUUCGCGAGACUUUACUAUAUUAACCCUAGAUUUAAUUUAUGCAAAAUGUAAUCUCUAAUUUUAACCUAAUUUUUCCCUCCACACUUUUGCAUUUAAUGUUUAUCUAAAGUAAAAUAAAAGUAUGUUCCCAAUUAUAUGCUGUUUUUUUGAAAAGGAAUAACCGUUAACCCGUCUAGCUAUACUUAACUUAAUCUCUUACUUAUAAAUGUUAACCCGUCUUGCUAUACUUAACCUAUUUUAUUUUAUUUCUUAAAGUUAACCCGGACGCAAAAUUUUGCCCUAGAAUUAACCUAACUUCUUUGCUUAAUUUUACUGUAUUAACCCUAUUUAAUUUAAUCAAAAUGUUAACGUUAAUUGUUAGGGAAAUCAAAAUAAACAAAUCGCUUCUAAUUUUUCUCCUUAAUUUUACUAAACAAAUUAUAUUAACCCUAGAUUUAAUUUAUGCAAAAUGUCAUAUCUUAUUUAUAAACGUUAACCCGUGACGUAAUAUUAACCCUAGAUUUAACCUAAUUUUUUCGUGUGACUUUACUAUUUUAACCCUAGAUUUAAUUUAUGCAAAAUGUCAUCUCUUAUUUCUAAAUGUUAACCCGUGAUGCAAUAUUAACGCUAGAUUUAACCUAUUUUUUCGUGUGACUUUACUAUAUUAACCCUAGAUUUAAUUUAUGCAAAAUGUCAUCUCUAAUUUUAACCUAAUUUUUCCCUCCACACCUUUGCAUUUAAUGUUUAUCUAAAGCAAAAUAAAAAUAUGUUCCCAAUUAUAUGCUGUUUUUUUGGAAAUGAAUCCGUUAACCCGUCUAGCUAUACUUAAUUUAAUCUCUUACUUAUAAAUGUUAACCUGUCUUGCUAUACUUAACCUAUUUUAUUUUAUUUCUUAAAGUUAUACCGGACGCAAAAUUUUGCCCUAGAAUUAACCUAACUUCUUUGCUUAAUUUUACUGUAUUAACCCUAUUUAAUUAACCAUGUUUAAUUUGAUCAAAAUGUUAACGUUAAUUGUUAGGGAAAUCAAAAUAAACAAAUCGCUCCUAAUUUUUCUCUUUAAUUUUACUAAACAAAUUAUAUUAACCCUAGAUUUAAUUUAUGCAAAAUGUCAUCUCUUAUUUCUAAAUGUUAACCGGUGAUGCAAUAUUAACCCUAGAUUUAACAUAUUUGUUCUAGAAGUACUUCUUUUAGUAAGUACUUAAUUGAUAUUGUGUUUGACCUAACUUCUUAAAAAUGUAGAGAAGUUUGAAAAAUGUCGGGUCAAACGAUACCUUAAUCUUCCACAACGGCAAUGUAGAAGCAACUGAAUUUGGGGGAAAAAAUUGAAAAAGUUAAAAAUAUAAAAAUUGGAAAAUAAUUAAAAGUUAUUAAAAAUAUAAAAAUUAGAAAAUAAUUAAAAAAAAUUGGUUAGGGGAAAAAAUGGAAAUUCAUAGGCCAUUGUUAAAAAAAAUAUAUAAUAUUAAAAAAUAAAGAAAAGGUUCUCGGCGUAAGUUGAAAAGAGGUGUUUGUGAAAUAAAUUGUCGAGAAGUAGUUUUUUAAAGUAACAUUCAACAUCUUCUGGUCAAAGCUCGUUCCAUUCAAUUUUAUGCGUUCAAAAAAAGUACUUUUUUAAGUAAGUACUUAAUUGAUAUUGUGUUUGACCUAACUUCUCCUUAAAAAUGUAGAGAAGUUUGAAAAAUGUCAGGUCAAACGAUACUUUAAUCUCCCACAACGGCAAUGUAGAAACAACUGAAUUUGGGAUAAAAAAAUUGAAAAAGUUAAAAAUAUAAAAAUUGGAAAAUAAUUAAAAGUUAUAAAAAAUAUAUAAUUUAGAAAAUAAUUAAAAAAAUUGGUUAGGGGCAAAAAUGGAAAUUCAUAGGUCAACCUUAAAAAAAAAAAUUCAACCAAUAAGUAGAUUACCAAAUUGCCCCUUAUAGGGGCAAAAUGGUAACAAUGGACAUUUUCUUUUAUAUAAGUAUAUUGAAGCUUGCUGGGCAUUGAAAUGAGUUUGUAUGUUCUCUGCACAUGGUUGAAAGUUGAAACACUCUAUAUAGCAUGUUUGAUUUUAGAAUGAGUGUCGUUUUAGCCAAUUUCACACAGAUUAAGGAAUGAAAUAAAGUAGUCAAAUGUCAUAGCAAUUUUACCAAAUUAUCCUAAUCAACUAUUGGUUUGUUUUUCAUUAAAGAAAAAAUAAUACUAUGUAAGUAGUGUAACAUAGUAUUAAUUGAAUAGUACAACUAUUGGUUAUUAUUGCAUUGAAAACUGAAAGUGAUAUUCAUUUUAAAACAUUUUUUUUAGCUAAAACGACACUCAUUUUAAAACGGAGGAAGUAUAAUUUUAGGGCAAAUGAAAACCUAACCGAAAAUCAAUUUGUAAGGUAGGUAGAUAGAAUUAGUGAAUUGAUUAUACACAACACCAUAUACAAUUCAAACAUUCAUGAAUUAAAUCACUAAGAGAAUUUCAAGAAUUAAGAGUUGACUAUAGUUUUUACUUUAUUUUCACCAUCAUAAAAAAUAAUCAUUACCAAAGAACGCUUCAAAUCCUUUGGUUCUUCUGCCUCUUUUAAUUCGUUAAUAUAUAUCUUUCACAAACAUAAGUUAGAUAGCAAAAAAGUAUUCUAGUGUAUUAUGUAUACACUAUGACAAAGAAAUUAACAAUGAGAUGCAUAAUUACAACCGUAUGUUUUUUGAAUGCUGUGAUAGUUGGUUUCAUGCGAUCCGACUCAUAAUAAUUCAUUAGUAGAGCUUGUUGAAUAAUUGAAUUAGAUCUACCCUCUUCUGGAUCCACCAACUUGUUGAUAGUUAUUAUAUGCUUUAUUUACGUAAUAAUUCAAUUAUUCAACAAACUCUACCAAUGAAUCAUUAUAAGUCAGAUAUCAUAAAACCAACUAUCACAGCAUUCAAAAAACAAAUGGAUGUAAAUAUGCAUCUCCCAUUGUUAAUUUCUUUGUCAUGGUAUACAACUAGAAUAUUUUUUUUAACUACUAUUUAACUUAUCUUCUGACAAAUAUAUAUUAAUGAAUUAAAAGAGUUGGAAAAGCCAAAGGAUUUGAACCAUUCGUUGACAAUGUUUAUUUUUUAUGAUGGUGAAAAUAAAGUAAAAACUAUAGACAGCUCUUAAUUCCUGAAAUUCUCUUAGUGGUUUAAUUCUUGAAUGUUUGAAUUGUAUAUGGUGCUAUGUAAUGAAAAUUGAUUUGAAGAAAAGGUAUGUGAGUUUUUGUUAUUGUUUAGAGUUUACUGUUGAUUGAUUUUGAGGAAUCGAAAGUAAUGAUUGUCAUUUGUAGAUACAUUUUUUGUUUGACAAGAAUCUAGAAUCAAUGUAUGUCGGUGUUAAGGUUGGAUUGUUUGCAAGUAUGAAAAAUAAAAAAGAUCAAAAGAAAGUAUAUCAUAAACUAUAUCAAAAUUUGAUAGGAUCGUACAUAACAAACAUAAAUAUUCUAUAUUAGGAUUAAAAAUGAUCUACAUCCAAUAUCAGAUCAUUGCAUGUUAUCGUUGUCAUCCAUUGCAAAAAGGCUUAAUACAUAAUUUGAUCCCUUAGUUUAUUUUUGGAUUUCAUUUUGGUCCUCUAACUAUAAAGUGUUUCAAUUUGGUCCAAUAAUUCUUCUGCCGUUUACUAUUUUGGUCCUCUCCGUUGAUUUUUCAAUAACAGUUAACCAAUUGUCCACAUGUCAUUUAAGAUUGAUAAUCAAGGGUUAGAUUUGAAAAGUACACAAUGGGCUCACAACAUAUGAUCAUUUGUAUUUUUCUUGAUUUCCCUAAAAAUAAAAAUUUAAAAUCACCAUCAAUCUUCAUCUUUUUAUAUAUUUUUUUGAAAAAUUGGCAUCCAGAUUUUUAAAAAUUAAAUAUUUCCAGAAUUUUGUAAAAAAAAUUUAAAAAAACCUUUUUUUUGGAAAAAAAAAAACUGACCUUUUCUUUAAAUUUCGUAAAAUAUUUAUAAUUUCAUAAAAAAAAAAUUCAAAUUUUUAAAUUUUGAAAAAGAUUUUAUAAAAAUUCUGGAAUAAUUUUUUUUUCAGAUUUAUAAAAAUCUGAAUUUUUUUAUAUAUUUUUUAAAAAAUUUGUUUACAGAUUUUAAAAAAUUGAAAUAUUUUCCAGAAUUUUGUAGAAAAUUUUUUAAAAAACCUUUUUUUUUAAAUUUGGUAAAAAAAAAAAUCAAUUUUUUUUAUAAAUCUGGAAUAAUUUUUUUCAGAUUUUAUAAAAAUAUGAAUUUUUUUUUAAAAUUGUAUCCAGAUUUUUAAAAAUUAAAACAUUUUCCAAAAAUUUUAAAACCUUUUAUUCGCAAAAAAAGCUGACCUUUUUUUAAAAUAUUGUAAAAAAAUAAAUAUUUUCCUUAUUUUUUUAAUUUUGAAAAAGAUUUUAUAAAAAUUCUGGAAUAAUGUUUUUUUUAAUUUUUUAUAUAUUUUUCAAAAAAAAUUAUCCAGAAUUUUGUAGAAAAAAAAUAAAAAAAAACUUUUUUUUUUCGAAAAAAAAUCUGACCUUUUGUUUAAAAAAUAUAUAAAUGGUCAGUUUUUUUUUUAUGAAAUUUUUAUAAAAGGUUUUUUAAAAUUUUUUCUAUAAAAUUCUGGAAAAUAUUUAAUUUUUAAAAAUCUGGAUGCCAAUUUUUUAAAAAAUAUAUAAAAAGAUGAAGAUUUAUGGUGAUUUUAGAUUUUUAUUUUUAGGAAAAUCAAGAAAAAUAUAAAUGAUCAUAUGUUGUGGGUCCAUUGUAUACUUUUCAAAUCUAACCCUUGAUCACAAAUCUGAAAUGACAUGUGGAUAAGGAUUAACUGUUUUUGAAAAAAUUAACGGAAAGGACCAAAAUGGUAAAUGGCAGAAGAUAUAUGAGACCAAAUUGAGACACUUUAUAGUUAUAGGACCAAAAUGAAAUCUAAAAAUAAAUUAAAAGAUCAAAGCAUGUAUUAAGCCAAAAAAAAAAAAAAAUAGUAACUUAGCAAAAUAUAAAAUAACCAUAUGGACCUCUAAAGUUAAUAUUGGAUCUUUUUUUUUUGUUAUCAUUUGAUUUUCUAAUUAUAUUUCCAAAUGAAAUUCCAACCCUAUAAUUCAUUGUACGUGUAUUUUUUUCAUUUGGUGUAAAUGUAAAGUUUUUUUUUCACAAAAAUUUAAAUAUAAAUUUAAUAAAUCGAUAUAUUUUUCCAAUAUCAUUUACUUUAAGUGAUUUUCGUAAACGUGGCUAUCAACAAGGACGAAUCCUUUUGAAAUGAUCGGGUAGCUUUGGCUACCCCAAAAUUAUUUAUACUUGGUCAUGGUUUAGAAGUGUUCAUUUUAUCAACCUGUGACUGGUUCAAUUCCCAACAACCAUUUUUAUAUUAAUGAUUUUUAAAAAAAAAUGUCAAAAACGGGAGGAGAGGGUAUUGACCCGACGACGCACUACAGGGUAAUUGCCCGUUUACCACUAGGCCAAGUAAUUAAACAUCAUAAUCUUCCAACAUAUAUUAUAUAUAAUGCAAUAUUUAAGACUAAUAUAUUAAUAAUAUAUAUAUAAAGGGUAAUAAUCCAGUGUAGUAAUUGUCACAACAUGCCUUAUGGUGGAUCAGCCCCUAUAUCAAGGCCAUACUUAAUAUGUUUCGUAAAAUUUAAGCUUAAUUGCAUUUUUGGUCCCCUAUAUUUUAAAAAGUUGCGAUUUUAACCUCCUAACUAAUUAAAAUACAAAACAGCCCCUUAUGUAUCUGAAUCAUGGCCAUAGGUAGAUUGAAAUGUGUUGUGGAAAUUGCAAGUACCACUAAUGGUUAAAAAAAUUGUGUAGCACAUGAAAUCAAUUGCAAUCAACAGGUAGGGCAUGCCACUUUAUGCAAUAUUGAUGGUUCCUUUUUUACUAAUGUUGUAGGCAUUAAAAUGUGUCUCCGUGAUGAGCUCCAGCAUUUUGUUUUGGCCAAGAUUAAAAUAUAUAUAUAGGGUGUAAUGCAUAAAACGAUAACAAUGGAUUAAAAAAACAAUGGAAAAAAAAAAUUGUCAAAAAAAUAUUGAAUGCAUAUGUUUGUAUUUGAAAAAGAAAAAAAAAAGAAAAAGAAAAAGAAACUAAAACUCAAGAAAAAAAAAGUAACUAAAACAUGUGUUUAUUGUUUACUUUCAAAUUAGGUGACUUCUAUAACAAAAGCAACAAAGGUUAAGGUUUAGUGAAUGCUCCAAAGCAGUAAAAUUGCCUAUAGAUCCGCAUGAAUUAGAAGAAAAAGUCAAAACAAAAUACUUGGCCAACUUAAUUCACUAAAUUAAGAGCAACCAACAAGAACAUUUCAGCCUUAAUAUUAUAAUUUUGUUCUGUGUUGUGUUGUGUGAAUUCAGCAUUGUACCAUUAAAUCAAAACUAUGUUAGCAGUUUCUCAAAACCCCAACAAAGAACUCCAAUUCACGAAUGCAAAGGUCAAAGGGUGAGGCGCGAAGACGAUUCAGGGAUUUCAAGCGAGCAGCAAAAUCAUGAACAUGAACGCAAACAACACGCCACCAUUGGAAGCGGGAUAUGAAUGAUCACACCUUAAUGAUUUUACUUAUUUUUUGAGUAUGUUGUAUCCAUCAAUCUAUCAUUUGAUUUUAAUCAUGUUCAUGAUCAUGUAUGAUGUAUAUUUAUUUAUCAAUGAAUUUGUAUAGGAAUAUGGAGUCGUUACAUUAUAAGAGAGAACAAGAUAAAUGUUUGGUUGUAUGUGAAAGAAAAUAAAAAACACAGAAGAGUACGACUCAUUUUGCCAAUGAUAAAUAAUGUAUGUGAUCAUAGGACAUUUUAUAAGUAUCCUUAUAGUAGCACGUGUGAAUAAUAAAUAAUAAUCUUCAUUGUAUUGUACCCUUAGUUAUGAGUUAUGUAUGUGACUUGGAGGCAAUAACAUCUCACAAUGAACAAAUAUACGUAUCUGAGUUAGUUAGAAACCAACUAACCUUCUUCUCUACCAUCAAAGAUAACACUAUCUAUAAUUAAGUGCUAUCUUGUGUAAAAAUAAUAAAUAAUACUAAUAAUUAAGAGCUUCCUUCAAAAAAAAAUACUAAUAAUUAAGAGCUAUAUCAAUUUUCUUGUAAUCAUGGCAUACCUAUUUUUCCCUUAGAACAUUUUCCUAUUAUUUAAUUUGGACUAUAAAGUAUGAGUAUUUUACAAUCCAACAUUUUUCAAUUAUUUAAUUUGGACUAUAAAGUAGAAGUAAUUUAUAAUUAGUCAAAAUAUAUCACUUCAAAAACGUACAUGUGAGACACUUAAAAAUAAUGUAAAAAAAUAAUGUCUUUUUGUAUGUGUGCCUAAACAUUAUAAAUAUGGUCUUGUGACUGUAGAAUACUAGCUCUUUCCACAUAUAAUUAUCAUCAUGAUCAUACUUACUAAGUGCUUCUCAAACACAAGUUAAAAAAGUUAUAAGUAUAAAAUAUAUUUCUAUAUUGAUUUCCUUAACCAAUACUGCUGAGGAACUAGUUGGUAUUUUCCUUAUUAUUAUGCCACCUAACAACAAGGAAAAAAAAAAUAGCCAAGUGUGCUUUGAAAUUUUACAACCACCUAGCAAUUAAACUGUCCCAACAUUUUUAAUUCCCAGGAGCUUUAAAAAAAUUCAUCUAAAUAGUUAAAUUUUUAACAAGAUAACAUAAAUCAAACAGGCUCAAUUGCCUUGGGAAAUCAAGGAAGCCAUGGAGAUUGGAGAAUACUUAAGAAAGUAAACCAUCUGCUAAAAUUUAAUGAUAAUUCACAUUAUAAAAUUAAUUAAUAAUUUAUAAUGUUUUCAUAUUCAAAUUUACACUUAUAUAUCACCUACAAACAUCCUGAAAAACACCAGGGCUCUCAUAUCAGGCAUACCAUGAUGCCCUGAGGAGGAUAUAAAGGAUUCCACAGAUUCAAGGUUUUGCUCGUCGAAGCAGACCGUACUUAGGACGAUCACUUAGAUGAUCGAUGGUUCUGAAACAUUUCAUAUUAAAACUAGACAUUUCAAUGUCUCAAAAGAAACAAAAAAAUAAAAUCAAGACAAAAUCAAAGGGCUAUUUGUCAUCCACUUUAAGGGAAUUUAGCUUUCUUAUCCUUUGAUCAAGCUCCUUCAUGACUUCAGGUUCCUGUUUCUUCCUUUCUUUCGAUAUUGUAUUUGUUGUCAUCGAACCUAUCUUAUCAAAUGCCACCUGCAAACAUCAAACGGAUGAUAACAGUGAAACCAUAAAGUACAAUAUAUAAAAUAUUAAAAUGAAAUCAAUUAGAGAAAGAUAUGAUUAAUAUGACCAAUUGAAAAUUUUCUUACGGUUAGUAAAUCAUCUGGAUCAAAUAGGUGAUGAGUGGUUUGAUGCAGAAUAUUGAUUGCUUCCCCAACAUGAUGGGUUAGAAGUAAUUGAUCUUCCUUCAUCUGCAAUAAGAGGUGAAAAUUGUUGAAAAAUUGAAAUAUUAUAGUGCGUAUUGAUCAGAAACCAAGAAAGAACGGAAAGUCUAAGCUAGUGGUACCUUAAAAAUUGCCAAGGCCACAUUGAAUAUAACCUUAGCCCCCUCGUAGAAAAUAACAUCCCAUACUCGCAGCGUUGUCUGAAUCAAGGAAAAAGUAUUACCAAGGGGAAUUUUUUUAAGAUUUCGAUGUAAUAAUUUUAUUGCAGUGUAUUACUCAAACUAACCUCUGACGGUAGACUCUUUGAAAACAGGCACAGGAACCACUCGGUGGUAACAAGGGAAACGUCAAAUUCCAAAGAAUCCAAAUGAGUCGCAAUCCUGCAUUUCCAUUUCGGCAAUUUUCAGAAUUUACUAAGAAGUAAACAUAUGACAACAGUUAAUACAUCACAUUAAAAUACCUUGGGCACUUUUUAGUGAGUAAGUCUUUGAACACUCUUUGCUCAACAUGGCAUCCUGAUAAGUUGUUUGUGUAACAGUCGCUAACCAGGACAUUUUCCAACAAGACAGCAAGCAUCCAAAAUGCAUCUUCUUCGGUUUUCAUGACCAGCAACAACAAUGCUGCAACAUAAUUCAAACCCUGGAGCCAAAAUAUUGUAGAGUCAGUACUUAAGAAGAUACAUUCUUCGGCAUGCAUUUAUUCAUUUUUAAUCAAAACAAUAUUAAUCAAUAUUAUUGUCAACUGUAACCAAAGGAAUUGUGUUUUAUUAUAUUUUACCUAACUUGAAAAUUUUUAAACACUUGCUGAAGCAAUUGAGACCAGCAAAUGUAGAAGCAUAAUAGGUUUCAUGAAUGUAACAUAUUAACAUCUAAUCCCAGAAGAAAAAGAAUAGAGGUAUCAUCAAUUAAAUAAAAGCAGAUCACAAACAAAAUACAUUUUCUGUUUAGAUAGCUACCAUGAGAUAUUAAGUAGUGUCAAAUUCAAAGUUAUCAGACACUAUCAUUCAUCCUGCUUGCUUCGCAAGUGGGGAAAACUUCACAAAAGGAAGGUGAUCAGAGCCACACAUACCUGACAAUACCCAACAUCAGAGUCACGGAAAGAAUAUGCAACAAGAACACGCCUAAGAGCAGCAUGCCCCUCAGGUGUGUCCAGCCAUGCGUGACCAGGGAAGGUUCGCGGUAGGUCCUGUAGAAAUGGUUAUGAAAAUUAAUUAUAAACAGAAUAAAAGUAACGAUCUUUUUGGCAUCUAGACAAGUUCAAUUCACUCUCAAACAGAUAUUCAAUGACAAAUGAACAUAUAAAGAUCGCAUCAAACACUCUGAUGACCGCAGUCCCUUCUCCAAACUAAUGGAAUUCACAUUGUUGGAAAAGUAGAUAAGUAAAUCGAAAUCCAAGAUAUUAAAAUCCGACCACGAUCUUUAAACUGCAUCGAGGAGAUGACCACGCAGGUUCAUAUGUUUUUCUGAUCAGCAUAUACUCAAAACUACAUUUUAGUUUAGCUAAAACUCAUAUACUCAAGAACAUAUACAUUAUUUACAAGAGCUAAGGCUAACCGAUCCCUUUACAAGAGCUAAGGCUAACAGAUCCCACAACUAUACUAAUGGUUGUAAAUAUAGAGCUCAGAAAUGAUUCACCUCUUAUGAAUCUUCCUUAACUCUCAUUGACAUUCAUAACCAAUAAGUCUUGCUCAUUAGAGGCAAAAAAUAAAAGUCAAACCCACAAUUAUGAUCAAAAUCUGCAAAACUUUUCACAAAACCAUUAAUCUAGACAAUGUGAUUCACAAACAUAUGAUCAACACAAAAGGAUCAACACAACACAUCAGCAAAUACAUGUCUAAUAAAAUGGAACCAAACAAUCCAUAAGGAUGAUGAUGCACACAAACUUGUGAUCAAAAUCAAAUCCCAAUUUCGUGAUGAUCAUAAACAAGCAUAAAAGGCGAAGAACUCACAUGAUCUAUCUGUCUAGUAGCAGGGGUAACCUUCCCCUCCACAGCUUUUGUCAAAUCAUCAUAAUAACUAUCAGGAACCGUGGACUUUUUCUUCGCAGCACCGGACAACGAAAACCAAACCUUAGGCCUAAGAACCGGUGGUAUCCCUUUCCUAAUCAACUUCUUCAAAGUAAUAGCAUUAGCCAAUGCCGAAAACUUCAACGAAGAUGUAAGGGCACUCCCUUGUCCUAUGGUUGUAUGAAGAUACCAAUUAACACCUUUACUGGCCUCCAAUGCCCACCAAACUCUACCUUGUUGUCUCACCUUUUCCCUUACCUCAUUCAACACAUUCACAUCAUCCACAUUCCCUUCAACCGUAAAUCCGUAAAGGUCUUGAAAUUUCACAGUUAUAUUUGCUCUUCUUGAAUGAAUACUAGGCCUCAAUACUGAUAUUUGAGAUUGGUAUUCAAAUGCAAGGUCUAUUUUGCUUUUUGUUCCAUACAUUUUUUGUUUACCUUAAACAACACAAAAAACACACAACAGGGUUAAGGUAUAUUGUGACAAAUAUUGUCUUUUUAGGACCUUGUCAAAUUUGAAACACAACCAUGAAUUGGUCUAUUUAGAGGAACUGGGUCAUUAAGAUUAGGUGAAAAAAAGUUGAAUUUUUAAUCAAACACAAAAUGGGCUAAUCAAGAUUUAAUCAAAAAAGGGUUAGAUUCAAAAUUCAAAUUUAUGGGUCAUUGAAAAAAAAAUAAAAAACCCUUUUUUGAUAUCAUCAAAAAGAUUGAAACUUUGAUGAAAUUGAGCUGAAAUUGUUUCAAGACUAAGCUUGUCUAAUGAAAAAAAAUCAAAUUUUUAGAUGAAUUAUGAAGGGAAAUCAAAAGGGGGUAAAAUUGAAGAAAAAAAGGGAUUUUUGUAGAUGAAUGUGAAUGUAAUAUAGAGAUAGAAAAAGGAUCUGAAAUUGAGAGAGAAAGAAUGAAGAAAGAAGAGAAGGGACAAGAAUAAAACCCUAGAAUAUAGGGAAAAGAAAGAAAAUUGAAGAAAAAAAAUAGAAAAGAGUGUAAAAACAGAACGAAGAAAUAGGUGGUGGUGUUUCUUAGCUGUUUAAGGCUCUCACUUUGGACACAAAAUCUAAAUAUCUUCAAAAGAUUUAUUAUUUAUUUAUUUAAAUUUGUCAAUUUGACUUUACUUUCCCUUUUUAUUUUUCAGGUAAAAUUCAACUUUCAUUAAACGUUGUUGUGUUCAUAACUUCAUGAUGUUUUUUUUCCUUAAUAGUAGGCAUGGCAACAAAACCCAUAUUCGUGGUAUCCGUCCGAACCAAAUUCAAUUUGGCGGGUUUUUCCCGUUUUGACUGAGUUUGGGUACGGGUAUGGAUUUUCCCCGAUCUCAAAACACGGGUAUGGGACGUGUAACGGAUAUAUAGGUACCCAUCCCGAACCCAUACCCAAACCCGUCCCAAAUGUAAAAAAUUAUUUUAUGUUGAUAUGUUAUGUUAUUUUGUUUGAUAAUUGUCAUGUUAAUAAAAACUAUCAUUGAUAUUUAAAGGAUCAACUAAAUCAUUUUGUCUAACAAAUGUGAAAGUGAGGUUAUUGUUGGAUAAUGUAUUACAACGUUGCUCUUGAGGAUGCAAAAAAAAUUAUAUUUUUUAUUAAAAAAUAUUCAAUGCGGGGACGAGGAUGGGGCGAGGAUACCCGAACCCGUCGGGAACGGGGAUGAGAUUCAAUUUCUCAUUCCCGUUGGAUAUGAGUAGCGUAACGGGUAAGUAUACGAGAAUCGGGUAUGGGGACGGGGAAGGUAAUACCCGUCCCCACCCCCCAUUGCCAUGCCUACUUAAUAGUAUCUUUUUAAAUUCCUUUUUAUUUUUUUGAUAAAUUUUGUAUGGUGAGUGCAUGAUGCCUUGCCUAAUGUAGAAAAUACUUUCAAUCUUGAAAACAUUUAUAAAAAUACUUAUGUUUUUCAUCAUUUAAAACCACUAGCAUGACUCGAACUCGAAAUAUUUAGGUCCAAUACUUAUCUUUUUACUAGUACAUCAAACUUUUUAAGUUAAAACGCUUAAAUUCUAAUUGUGGAGAUCAAUUUUUGAGUUUAUAACUGAUAAGUUAUUAUUUAUAAGCUCAUAUGAUUAGCAUGAGUUUGUUUGAUAACAAUACAUUUACCAAAAGGUAAUCCUAGUAAUAUGAAGUUUGGUUGAAAAAUAAGUAAAAUCUUAUAUAAAAUUGUUACAUUCAAAAUUAAAUUCAAGUUUUCCCUAACACAUUCUUAGAUGGAGUUCAUUAUCCACUUAAGCACAAUCACUUAGUUAAUUGUGAGUAAACUCACUUGAGUUGGCUUGAUUGUGUUGCUUUAGGACGUUAGAGUAAACUCAUGGAGAUAAGUUUAAACAAAUUAAUCCAAACAUGAUCUAAAGACAUUAAAUUCCUAUAAUUCAUUCGCCGAUUCUAUUUUUCUUUUUAGUAAUAUAGCAUGCUGGAAAUGAAUAAUUUAUAAAAAAAUAUAAAGAGAAUCGAACUUCACACAUUAAGAAGAUCGUAUUUUAAGGUAUCAAACCAACUCAAGUGGAUUUCAAUUAAAAUAUAAGUAAAUUAUGAUCAAUUAUUGUUCGUUUAAAGUUCAAACAAUUUAUGAUUUGAUAAAAUUAAUUAAACAUAUAAGCACUAUAACUUAAUUUUAAUUGAAAUUGAAAUACUUAUAGUAUUUUUGUGACACUUGUUAAUAUAACGUCUAAAAUAAUGGAUUCAACUAUGUUAAAAAAAAUAUUCAUGAAAAUAGGUACUGUCAAACUCAAUGAAUAGUUUUCUUUUGACAGAAAAACCAAAUAAUGCAUGAAAUUUAAAAAUGGAGAUAGUAGCCUCCUGUUCUUGUAACGUGCAGAGGGUUAAGAAAAGCUCUUUAUUCCUCUCAAGAACAGAAACGUUCUUAAUUAUUUUAAUAGAAUAGAAUAAUAAUAGUGGAAGGGAGCGUCAAUAACUCAAUAUUGACCAUUUGUCAAAAAAAAAAAACUUAAUAUUGAUCAUGAUAGUCAAAGUUCGAAAACAACUUAUUUUAAAGAAGAGUUCAGAAACAAAUUAAGAUGAUGUUUGGUUCUAUUGUCGUAAAAAGGUUAUUUUGAAUGAACUACCAUGGUUCGGAGACGAUAAAGUUUGCAUUAGAGUAGUUGAGACGGACACGAAGAUAACUCGAUUGCAUCUGUUCACAUCAUCAUAGUGAAUGACAUCGAGUAAUAUUCCUGCCUACCCCUUCAAAGUUGUCAUAUUUGUCUGCUGCUAUUUCGCUUGAGCCGGAAUAAAUUAGUCACGGAAGUCUCUAAACCAACACGCAAAAGAUGAAAUAUGGUUACGACAUAGAAUCAGGGGCGGAGCCACCCCCCAGCUAGCCUGGGGCACUAGCCCAGGAUCAGCUUCUACUUUCUUUGAGGCAAGCCCAGCCAUUACUAGAACUUCUCGCUUUUUCUGCGAAUUUUUGUGUAAAUUCCGCAGGAAACACAUUUCCUGCGGAUUUAGGUUAUAAAGUGAGGUAAUACCUUAUGAUUUUAGGAUUCGCAAGAAGGAAAUAACAUUUUUUGCAAUAAAUUUUUUGUCCAGACUCUAUAAAAUUCCUGACUCCGCCACUACAUAGAACGCGGAAUCGAUACAUAAAUUAGAAAUUGUUAAAUAACCGUAUUAGAAACUUCGAAUAUUAUAGUGAUAUAAUAUAAAAAAAACACUUUUAUGAUUGUAAAAAAAAAAAAAACACUUUUAUGACAUAAUUUACAAAAACAUAUGUUAAUUGAUAUGUAGGCCAUAUGGCUGCCAAACGUUCUAAUUGGUAUCUUCACAUAUUAGUUCUGUCUGAUACCAUAUUUAUUGAUAAAUUAUCAAAAAGUAAAGGAAAGACUGGGAAAGAAAAGUUCGUGUGUUUUUAAUUUUUAUUGACAUAUUUUUGCAAUAAAAUGUAAAUUGUUUAGUUUGAAGGCAAUCAUGUAAAUGUGACCCACACAAAAUGAUCAUUUGGAUACGAGGGAAAUUGGUAUGUGGGACCCGUUUGGUAGGCCCAUCCUUUCCUUACUCCAAAAGGAACAAAUCACGUGUGAGUGUGAGUACUGGGAAAGAAACAAAAGAGGAUCUAUAUGGAUAAGGCUCACCUAAAUUGAAAAAUUAUUUAUCUCCUCCAAAAGUAAAUCAACAACAUGAGAGUUAUAAUUCCCUCAAAAAAACAUGAGAGUUUUUUUGAAGAAAAAAAAAAAAUACGCUGAUAUAUUCACUGAAUAUCGUGUGUUUUCAUUGAAGGGAUAUUGAAAAGAGCAAUGCUAUAUCGACAAAGAUUUCAAUCUGAUGAAUACAAUCAAACUAGCAAAAAUAUGUCGAGAUUCGGUCUUUUAAAUACUAUAAAGUUCGGAUACUCUAAAAUGAAGAUGUUCCUUUAUCGGAUAUGUAUCAGAUACCGAUGCUCCGCGGAUACUUUCGGAUACGUAUCCAUGAAGAAUCAGAAUUAAUUAUUUUAAUUUAAAAUAUAUAUUUUAUUGGAUACUUAUAAGAUACUCGACAGAUACACACAGAUACUUAUAAGAUACUUUACAGAGACGUAUCCUGGACAAAAAUGAAGUGUAAAAAAAAUGAGACUGUGUUGUGAAAAUUCAAUGGAGAUGUAUAUGAUUCAAUUUAAGAUAUGAAUCACUAUAAUUGUUGUUCGAUAACUAAUUAAAAAUUAUGUUUUUGGUGGAUGAAAGUAACGAGAGAGGAGAUAACCUAACAUAUGAAUCAAAAUAGAAUAUAAUUUAUACAAACGGAUUGCGAAAUCUUAUCAUACCUGUAUCCGUAGUACGUAUUCGGGCGAUUAUAACUAUUCCAUAUGAAUGAAAUAGUCUAAAUACAACCCAUCUUGUAAAAAUAUACUAAAACAUUUUAUCUGAUGAGACACUUGUUUAAAUUCACAAUUCAUCACUUCUUAACAUAUUUAUGCUUUUGAGAGAGAGUUUGUAGGCCAUUAGAAUCUUUUGAAAAAAUAAAUAGAAAAUGUUAUUUUAUCUAUGUUGUAAAUUUUGAGUAUAUUUCAACAAUUUAAAUUAUAUUUUUUUUCUCAUGGUUUUAAAGUGAAAAAUAUAGAAAUAUAUUUUUAUUAUAAAAACUAGAAAAACAAUAUAUUUCUAUUAUUUACGACUAUAUUGACUUUGUUCAUGGUUUCACCGUUAUUGAGUAUGGACAAAGAUAGUAGACUUUCAAUGAAUGAAUAAGUAGUCUUUAAAGCGGGUGGCAUUUAGGGUGGGUAGGGAGAAUACUUUUCUACCAUGAAAAAGUACCAUUUUUAACCAUUGAUAUAUUAUUAUUUUAAAGGAAUGGUUUAGAUUCACUCAAUUUUUUUCCUUGCAACUUUUUGAAACAGUACCUAGAUAAAUGAUGACAACACAAAUAAUAUUUUUUUUUAUAAUUCAAUCUGGACUUUAUAUGCUUGAUUUUGGGCUUCAAAUUUUUUUGCUAAGAAUGAGCAACGUAAAUAAUAAAUUUUCUUUUCCAAAAAUAUUAUAAAAUUUCAAAAAAAAAAAAAAAAAGCUUAAUUACACCACAGGUCCUUUAAGUUUGACGUUUGUAACAGAUAUGUCCUUUAAGUUUGUUUUGUAACAGAUAGAUCUUUAACUUUGUAACACUGUGCAACUAAGCCAAAAAAAAAAUAUAAAUCAAAUCAAAACUUUUUCAAAAAUUGCUGGCACCCAAAGUUUUUCAAAAUUACUCCCCAUUUAUUUUCUAACAAACCUUAAUUAAUUUACAAUUUUUUUUAAUCACUUGCCGUAACAAGAAUUUUAAGCUGUAAAUGUUACAUGGAUGCAAGAAAAUGCAAUAUAGCCGUAUAAUGUUCUUAGGGCUUCAUCGAAUUUUUUUCGUUAAUUACAAGGCUCGUUAAAAAAUAUGGUUAAGCUAUUUAAGCAAUUUUUUUAGCUGCAAUUUUGUUUUUAAGCAAUGUUAUCGGCUUUGUUGUGGAAGAACGGCGGUUGUUCUAUAUUUUACAAAAAUUAAAUAAACACACAUUGCUGUGCCGGUGCUAACGUAAAAAAAACAAGUAGGAAAAAGGGUAUAAAGGUCAAUUGAACGACCGAGUAAAUGUAGGUGCAGAACAGAACAGAAGCAGAAAGCAAUUGGAAGGUGUAGAAUCAAGUAUUAAAAUAUGCUAAUUAAUUUUAGGGUUAAUUAAGUUUUUGGUCCCUAUAAAUAUCUACAGUUUUGUUUUUAGUCCCUAUAAAAAUAAAUCACACUUUUUAGUCCCUACAAAAUUUUCCGUUAGUGUUUUUAGUCCCUGUUAAAUUAAAAUUUGUUUAAUUAUGCUUAAAAUUCUAAAUUUUUUAAUGAUUUUUUACACACUUGUUUAAAACAUUAUAAAAGGUUCCGCCACAAUAAAUUAGCUCAAAAUUUUAUUUUUAGGUCCAAAUUUUCAUUAGUUUUAUCUUAAAUUUUUGACGUUUUAAAAAAAUUAUAUUUAAUUCAUUACAUGUUAAAAAAUUCUAAUUUUUUUAUAAAAGAGAUUAUUAUAAUGUUCUUAACAUGUCUGUUAAAAAUCAUUUAAAAAUAAAAAAGUUUAAGUAUAAUUAAACAAAUUUCAAUUUAAUAGGGACCAACACAUACUUUUAGUCCUUGUAAAAUUAAAAUUUGCUUAAUUGUGCUUAAACUAUUAAAUUUGUAACAUAUUUUUCACAUACUUACUUAGAAUAUUAUACCAAGUUCCUCCGCAAAAAAUUAACUUAAAAUUUUAUUAUUAGGUCCAAAUUUUCAUUAAUAUAAACUUGAAAAUUUUGCUUUUAGAAACAUUCAUAUUUAAUUCAUUACAUGUUAAAAAACUAAAUUUUUUUACAAAAGAGUGUCUUACGAUGUUAUGAACAUGUAUGUAAAAAAUCUUUCAAAAAUUUAGAAGUUUAAGCAUAAUUAAACAAAUUUUAAUUUAACAGGGACUAAAAACACUAACAUAAAAUUUUGUAGGGACUAAAAAGUGUGAUUUAUUUUUAUAGGGACUAAAAACGAAACUGCAGAUAUUUAUAGGGACCAAAAACUUAAUUAACCCUUAAUUUUAUUGUUAUUUUAAUUAUGACCUGUUAUAACUGCCACAUGUCUACUAAAAGUAGACUUUUCCAUGGUGGGAUAGAAUUCCUUCUACCCACCCUAAAUGCCACCUUUAAAGCGUAUUACCCGUGCGUCAUUUCAUCAAAAUAGAAAGAUGUGUCGGAAAAAUGGUUGAUGAGGAUUUUAACUAAAAUAAUAGGUCAAAUGCAUCUAAAGGUCCCUUAAAUUUUUCGUUUUUUCCAAAGUGGUCCUUUAAGUUUCAAAAGUCCCAAACAAAUCCUUUAAGUUUCAAAAGUCACAAACAAGUCCUUUUAGUUUUUGAAUUGUUUCAAACAAGUCCUUUUAGAGGAUGAUGGUGAUGAUUCAGAUGAUAGUAACAAAGAGCAUUAUCCACCAUUUACCAUGCCUAAAAAGAUGACUAAUUUUAAGUGGGUGUUAGGAGCCAAAUUUGGUACCAAAGAUGAGUUCAAGGAAGCAAUUACCAACUAUGCUAUCUACAAUAGGAAUUGUUUGAAACAAUUCAAAAACUAAAAGGACUUCUUUGGAACUUUUGAAACUUAAAGGACCACUUUAAAUAAAACGAAAAAUUUAAAGGACAUUUAGAUGCAUUUGACCAAAAAAAUAUCAUACAAAACAGGAACCAACACUAUAAAAAUGGUCGAAAAUAUCAUGAUAGAUUCUACUUUAGGGAAUGUGUCAUGAAAGAAUAGGUUCAGUCACAACAUUUCAUGAUGAAGCAAUAUUUCAAACGCUAAAUAGAAAAAACCACAUGAAUUAAUACAACUAAUCUCCUUAUAAUCUAAUUCUUAAUUAAUGAAAACAAUUCAGAAAAGAUGUGCCCAUAUGCUGUGAUAGUGGAAGAGAGCCAAGGAAGGAAGCUUUGGAAUAUUGCUUUGUGAAUAAGUAUAUGGAAUAAGUUUUUUUAUUUUUGGCUAAAAUAUGGUUUUAGUCCCUGCAAAUAUGACUCGUUUUGAUUUUAAUUCCUCUAAAGAAAAAUUGAUUUUGAUCCCUGUAAAAUAGUGAAAAAGAUUUCUUUUUUAAAUUUUUUUGCAGGGACCUUUGUAAAUUCUGCUUGCGACAACUCCACAUAUCAAUUUCAGCUUUUGUUUGAAACUUCUUUUUGAACUAGAUUUCUGCCUACAAAACAACUUUCUACUGCUUUUUCACUAUUAAAUAGUUUAUAAUAAUCAAAAAGCCAUUGAAAGCUGCAAUGUAGGUACAUGUCUAGUCAAGAAGAAAUUUUCAACAAAUGGUAAGAUUGUUACACAAGUUGUCACAUAGUUAAAAUUCAAAGUUAAGAACAAGUCAAGUUUAUUUUUUUUAUAUAAUAAUAUAAAGAGGAGGGAUAUAUUGACUCCAAGAGUAAGUCUAAAGAGUUACUCCACAUCCUCACCCUUCAAUUUAUCUAAUUUUAACGGACUAGAUUUGAUGCUUAUUAAUAAUCAUGUGACCUCAUUUACCUUAACCAAUCUCACCACAUUAAUUACAAUUUUCAACUCCAUCAAUAUUUACCUUUUAUAAACACAACUAAUUUUUUUUUUGAGGGAAUAAACAAAACUAAUUUUUGGUAAGUUGGUAAAGAAAAUGUAGUCCCUAAUUAUUUUUUACAACCUCCUCUCGUCUGCAAUUUGUUCAUAAAAAAUUCUAAAAGAAACUUCGUUGCAACUAUUUCACGAUUCACAAUGCAAAUUACAUAUAUUUUUAUUAAUACCCAUUAGUAUGUAAUUUUUGGAAUAUGUUGAUGCUUCCAUAUGUGUUUUUUUUUUUGUUUGGAUUAUCCACACGUGCUUUUUAGAAAUGAUUAUUGUUGGUUUAUUCUUUUUGAGGAUUGAUCAGUGGACUUUUAUGUUGCUAACCCUAGUUUUUAAUUAAAUUUAACCAUGCCUUUGAAUUUGAGUUAGACAUAUGAUCUUUUGUCUAUUUAUCGUGGAGAUGCAAAACCUUGGAUUUAAUUUUUUGACAUGAUUUAAUUUUUGAAAUGGUGGUAACAAUAUAGUAACGUAAGGUUAAGCGUUGAAAAAAAAAAAACUCAUGUGAUUAUUGAUAUUUAUUGAAUCAAAAAGGAAAUCAUAAUUUUAUUUUUUGAGGUAGAAAAGGAAAUCAUAAUUAAUAUUCUAAAAAUGAUUAGGUAGAUGAGAUGAUAUGAUUAUUAAUAACCGAUAAAUCUUGUCCAUUAAAUUUAGAUAAAAUGGAGGGUGAGGAUGUGGAGUAACUCUUUAAACUUACUAUUGGAGUCAAUAUAUUCAUCCUCUACGUUAAAAUCUCAAGUUAAAUUAUAAGAGAUAACCAAUGGUUAUAAUUAUAGAAACACACUGUUUCACUUUGUCAUAACACUUUGUUGAUACGUAGCUUGAACUAAAAAUUUACUCUAGGGUUAAUCAAAUUUGAUUCUCUUACACCUUUACACGUCAAUUUAGAUGUUUCUUAUUCCUUUAAAUAAGUGUUAGCUUCAUAUAUAGUGAAAAAAACUACAAACAAAAUGCAACACAAUUCAAAUAUCUUGAAUCAAAUGCAUGAUAUUCAAAUAAAAGUAAGUAAUAUUUAACAAUUUUCCUCACACCCCAUUCACAAUGCAAGGAUCGAAAAAUAACACUAGAUCAUAACAGAAUGCUCUAAUAACACUCAAUCAAAAUAAAAACACUUCAUUCAUAUAACCAAAAAAAAGUUUCCAUAAUUAGUUAGUUAAGAAGACUUACCUAAUCAUUUUAGCAGGCAAACAGAAGGUAUACCCGCACAUUAUUGCAUUGCGAAACUAAAAUAAAAUAGAGCACCGGUAAGAUCAUGAAAUUGCUACAUAGGUGACCACCGUCCGUCGGAGAACCGAUAACCACCACAUCGACAAUGUUACCAUUGUCAGAAUCGUCUCGAGUCAUCAUUUUAUCCUACUGAUGAAUGCUCAAUAUUUGUCGUUAGAGAUGGAAGAAGGUAUUAUACUUUCAGGUAUGUAGAGUAUAGACACACACGUACAAGAAGUUGCUACUAUACUAUAGUGGAAACAUAAUUGGAAAAUAUGGGAAGCAUGCAUGCAUUAGAGAGUAGUCAAGCAUGAAAACGGUAGUAGCAUUAAUUUAGGAAUAGUAAAAAAAGUGCAUGACUUAGUCAAUACAUACAUGAAACAAUAUAAUAAGAAUAAAUAAUCUUCUAUUGAAUGACGCACGCAAAUAUUAAAUAUAAUAUGUUAAAUGGUGUUACAGCAUUGAAUAUUUAUUCAUUCAUUCAUCACACAAGACAAAUUGUUCUUGUAUUCUGGGCCGGCAUGCUUCAUACAUUGGGCUGAACAUUGCUGGUUGGUUGAUGUUGAUGUUGACGUGACUCCUCCUAAACACUAGUUUUAAGCCGGCUACACCCCCCCUCCAACUUCAUGGAUAAAUUUGGGAAUUGGAUUUGGUAUUCUAAUAAAAAAUUGUGUGAAACUUUAUGUUAUUUUACAACAUAUGAUGCAUACCAAAAAAUUUGAUGUGUGAACUUUGAAGGGUUGAAAGUAUAGAUGGUUGCUCUUUUUCCCUUUACAACUAAGCAAAUUGUUCCGAAGAUAACUUCAAAAUAUAAUAUAUUUUUUUUUGUCUUUGGAGGCUUCAAUAGAUAACUUUCAGAAAUUGCAUUUUAGAAUAAAAAACAAUAGAGGGUGAAAAUAACAACCAUCAAUACAUGUAAUUUAUUACUUUUUGAAAUCCCAUCAAAUAAGAUUGGACCUAGUUUUAUCCUAGCUCACUUAGGCAUUACUUUUUGAAAUCUCGUUCCUACUUUUCACACCCUGCAUCGUAUCCUACUACAUCCUAAAUCGUAGUUUUGAAAAUCCACCCCUAUUUUUAAAAAUAGAACAUAUAUGAAAUUAAAAAACAUGUUUAAUUUUUCAAUCUUACACUUUUUAUCCUUAUAACUUUUUUUUUUUUUUGAUAGAUGAAAUGUCAAAGCCAUCAUAUACCCACACACAAAAAGUAGAGGUGCCGGUGUUUGAAUCCCGAUCAUGACGUCUAACCUAACAGUUUCGACAGUUUUACCAGUUGAGCUAGGACUUAUGUGACUCCUUAUAAUUUUUAUAUUGGGUAUAAAUUCAUAUAUUAAAUUAUACUAUUUUAAUAAAAUUCCGAUCUAGGAAGUUUUCAUUGACUACAUACAUCGGUGCAAAAUUGAAAGUUCAAGUCAAAGACAAAUAUAUAAUUGUAAAUUUGUAAUGAGAAAGGUUGUCAAUUUUUUUUGAGAGGUUAAAAUUUGCGAACUUGUCAUUGUUUGGAAUUGAAUUGGUCAUUUUAAAGGAUUUUAUUUGUGAAAGAUUUUGACCUCUCUCUAUUAAAUUAAUUUGUGGCUAUUUCAACAAACAUCAUUUUAUUUUGGGCAAAUCAAAUAUCUUUAGCGUAUGCAACUACAAAUUUUUUAAAGAGUGAAUCAAUAUCAUUAUGUAUAAUUAGGAAUCAAAUUGGUUACCGUAACUGAAAUCUUCAACUUAGGUUGGGGUGAAUGGAGAAGGUUGGGGUGAAUGGAGAGGCUUAGAAGUGGAGGAGGUUGUUUCCUUGGAAGGAUGAGUUGGUAGGAGAGUGUGUUAGAUGGUCAUGAAUUUUAUGAUAAUGAGUUAAUUGCUAAUAGCCAUAUUUUGUAGUUGAAAGGCAUACAACAUAAUAUAGCUUUCACGAGUGUAGAUAAGUUAAAAAGAAAGAAAUAAACACAUGUUUCAAUAAAAGGAGAAAGAUAUUCAAUCUUUAAGCGAAAAUAUUAAACUUCAUCUUUUUAGUGGUUUAAAUGACAUACGCUAUGUUUGAUUUUGACUAUAAUUAUUGGAGGUUUAAUCCUCUUUCUUGCCUAAUGGCUGUUACUUAGUUUUUUUCUUUUGCUUCAUUUUCUUCAUUCUUGUAUUGGAUAACUUCAUAACUUUAUGUCUUCUUAAACACAUCUUGUGUUGGAGACAUUUUGGUUUGAUAAUAUAAUUCAUUUUAGCAUUUAAAAAAAAAAAAAGUAUAAUUAGAAAUUAAAUUUUAAAUCAAAUCAAAUGAUUAAAAAACUCAAAUAUCUACCACUUAUAUUACACCAUAUACGUAGACAUAGCCACAUACAAUUCCCAUCUGAACUCUCACAUGCAUUGCAACAAAGAUUGUAUUUAAUUCACUAUACAUUAAUUGAUGUAUUUUUAUACUAUUUUUUUUCUUCCGACAAUUAGAAGUUUAUUAUUGAUAUGGUCUAACAAAAAGGUUAGCCAGAAAAAUUCAAAUAUUUAAGGUUAGCUAGAGAUUAUAUAUAAGUCAUCUAUAAGCUAUGAUCACAAGAAUUAUUGAGCUCCUCUUGGAUGUCAUCUUCCAAGUCUGCUUGGAAACCGAUGUUCACAUAUGGAAGAGAAGUAUUAUUUUGACUAGGUGAGAAUUGGUAUUUGUAUUAGGGAUGAUAAUAGUUAAUUUGUUUUUGUUAAAAUAAAAUAGUUCUCACCUCUCCGCUUCGACGAUACAAGUGAAGCUUCUUAGACUCUUUCUUACACUUUGUUGUGGGUGCGUGAUCUUCAAGUAGAAUAUGUGGAUUUUAAAUUUGAUUUAAAUCUUGUGGUUGAUCAAUUCGACGGUUAAAACAUAGAUGUCUUAGAAUUCGAUGUCAUAUUAGAUGGUUGUAGAUAUUUAUUUUUCUUUAAUUUUAAUAUCUUUCAUGUCUAGUUUGUUAGAAAUCAAUAAAACAACUUAUAUUUUAACUAAGACAAACACAUCUUUAACUCUUGUUUAUUCAUUUGUCGAUGACCCAAUAUGGAUUGAACACACUUUUAUCAAUCAAAUGUUAUAAUAUGUCAAAAAAUAAGCAUUAUUUUGACUAUUGAAAAAGCUAAGCACGUACUUAAGGAUAGAUCGCAACUUGAUUAUUAAAAAAAAACACAUGGCUGCUCAUUUUGACUAUCGAAGAUUAGAUCAAAUUAAACAUCAUUUAUAUAAUAUAUUAUAUGAAUAUAAAUAUAUUGAAGGAGCCAGACAUACAUUAUAGUAUAGUGGUAUAGUACUAUAUCAUAUGAUUGAGAAAAUGGAGAGGGAAGAAGCAAAGCAAGUAUCAGAUGAAGAAGCUUUGUUUUUUGCCAUGGAACUAUCAGGUGCUUCUGCUGCUCCAAUGGUUCUAAAAUCAGCUUUAGAACUUGGCAUCAUUGAAAUUAUAGCCAAAGCUGGUCCAAAUGCUCAUCUUUCAUCUUCAAACAUUGCUUCUCAAAUCCCUUCUAUAAAAAAUCCAGAUGCACCUUCUAUGUUGGACCGAUUAUUGCGUCUAUUGGCUAGCUACAAAAUUCUUACUUGCUCCAUUCAACAUCAAGAUGGAGAUUCUAUUGAAAGGCUUUAUGGUCUUCACCCUCUUGCUAAGUAUUUUGUCAAUAAUCAAGAUGGUGUCUCCAUGAUUUCUUCAUUUCUCAUGCAACAUGACAAAGUCCUCAAAGACAUGUGGUAUGAUAUUAUAUAUAUUUCAAUUUAUUUUCUUUUAGUGGGGACCCAUUUUUCUUAUAAAGUAUGAAUGUUAUUAUGGUUAAAUAAUCAAAAACUUAUCUAUAUGCUCAAAUGUAUCACUUUUUAUAAACUCUUUUUUUUUUUUUUUUUGUGAUGGACAUAGUUUGAACCCCGAACCUUACGUAUAUUAUAUGCUGAAAAAGACAUCCCAACAUAACUUGUUGUCUCAUUACCUUUUCCUUUUUUUUUUCUUUUGGACUUUUGCACAUUAGAGAUGCUUCUAUUCUCUCACGACUUCAUGAAUGUACACUACACAUGAUUAAAUUAAUUCAUAUAUAAGUCAGGAGACUCUACCUCUGUCACAUUUCUUUAUUAUGUAUAUGAAGGAAAACUGAAAAGUAUGCGUUAAGCAUUAUUUCAUCACCUUGUGCUGCAUGAUUUAAUAUUCGAUAAACAUAAAAUUUCUUCAACCCAACACCUCAAAAAAAAUGACUAAAUGAGUCUCACUAAAACUCCAUAAAAUGUUAACAUUUAAACAAUAUAAUUUAUUUUAAUAAAAUUUAUUUACUAAGAUCCAUAAAAAAAGUGAUGAGAGAGUCCUUCUAUAAACAUUAAAACUCCUAUUUCACAAUGAAGAUAUACCUAAUAAAUUAGUUUAAUAUUAAAUAGGUGAAACAUCCACCAAUAUGAAGUACGAAUUUUAAAUGUUUGUAGAGAAUAAUGAUUAUGAAAUGACUCUCUCGUCAUUUUUGUAGACCUUAGUUAAUAAGUUUUAUGCUCAAAUAAUUCAAGCAUACCUAAUCAUGUGAGUUUUGGAUGCUCUAAUGAUAUGAGUACGUUGUCGUUUUCCUUUUUUAUGUAUAUGGAGUUGCCGUGAGUAAAAGUUGUUGAUUUUUUUUUACAAAAUUCAACUUAUUCUAAUAAAAAAUAUCAAGUGCAAAUAAUUAAAGUAUAUCUAGUAUGUCAUAUAUGACUAGACUAACACGGCAUAGUUACAAUAUUUUUUAACAUGUUUGGCCCAGCUUGUUUUUGACUUUGCUUUUCCUUAAGCAAAAGUUUUGUUUUGACCAAAAAAGAGAGUAAAACUUUGCUUAAUUAAACACCAUAUUUUAAAAGCUCAAACUAGUUUAAUUAGAUGCACAUUUCACACUUAAGGUCCUUGUUUAGCGGCA
This 38378-nucleotide long non-coding RNA is filed under the name Medicago truncatula (barrel medic). RNAcentral's name for it is "long non-coding RNA (MTRU_LNC003728)". The stretch from base 31110 to 31203 matches the Rfam family "MIR5292 microRNA precursor family". Lineage: Eukaryota; Viridiplantae; Streptophyta; Magnoliopsida; Fabales; Fabaceae. The record is from RNAcentral.